AAGAGGGCGAUCUGGCUGAGGCAUCUGUCACCCAGGGUUGAUCGCCAGGGUUGAUUCGGCUGAUCUGGCUGGCUAGGCGGGUGUCCCCUUCCUCCCUCACCGCUCCAUGUGCGUCCCUCCCGAAGCUGCGCGCCUUCCCCGAAUAGAGACGGACUGAUCUUCGGUCGGACUGGUCUUCGGUCGAGGGUAGCUGCGCUCCCCUGCUAGAACCUCCAAACAAGCUCUCAAGAAUGGUUAUUGGGGGGGCACCUGCUGGCAGUAUAGGGAACUGCAGACAAUCAAGCUGAGCAGUGAAUUCUAAUCAGGAAAACCCCAAACAGAGGAGAAAUUCCUGUAGUU
Erinaceus europaeus (western European hedgehog) is the source of this 339-nucleotide non-coding RNA. The record is from Rfam. Lineage: Eukaryota; Metazoa; Chordata; Mammalia; Eulipotyphla; Erinaceidae.